This 370-nucleotide unclassified non-coding RNA is filed under the name Hevea brasiliensis (rubber tree). The record is from RNAcentral. Lineage: Eukaryota; Viridiplantae; Streptophyta; Magnoliopsida; Malpighiales; Euphorbiaceae.
AUGAUCUCUGCUUCUGGCGCUUUGAGUUCAUAGGUGACCGUGGGUGACGGUCGGCUUCAGGGUUCGUUGGGCUCAAGUGCAAGUUGUAUCCGUGCACUGGGGACUCAUCGCCUGCUACAUUUUCUGACUCGACAUCGUCUGGAUUUAGCUGACCAUUCACGCCGGGUAGGCUGAAGUCGCUUGAGCUUGGUUCGUAUACGACAUUGUCGCUCAUCUGAUGACUGUUGUGGAUUUCUGACGGACCCAAUGCUUUCAGUUGUCUACCAAGGAGAUAUAUUGUUUGCUGACAUUCUGCAAGCUUCUCGGCUGCUGCAGCUAUUUCCUUUUCCUGGUUUGUCUUGACGUCUACAUCUGUCGGAAAUGAACACAU